UACGUAGGGAGCGAGCGUUAUCCGGAUUUAUUGGGUGUAAAGGGUGCGUAGACGGGAAGUCAAGUUAGUUGUGAAAGCCCUCGGCUCAACUGAGGAACUGCAACUAAAACUGAUUUUCUUGAGUACUGGAGAGGAAAGUGGAAUUCCUAGUGUAGCGGUGAAAUGCGUAGAUAUUAGGAGGAACACCAGUGGCGAAGGCGACUUUCUGGACAGAGACUGACGUUGAGGCACGAAAGUGUGGGGAGCAAACAGG
Molecule: ribosomal RNA, 253 nt
Filed under: uncultured bacterium
Lineage: Bacteria
Description: partial 16S ribosomal RNA
Rfam family: Bacterial small subunit ribosomal RNA
Source: RNAcentral